Molecule: non-coding RNA, 186 nt
Filed under: Bordetella sp.
Lineage: Bacteria; Pseudomonadati; Pseudomonadota; Betaproteobacteria; Burkholderiales; Alcaligenaceae
Also listed under: 2 other names
Description: 6S RNA
Rfam family: 6S / SsrS RNA
About the family: E. coli 6S RNA was the first non coding RNA to be sequenced, but its function was unknown until recently. It consists of 184 nucleotides that fold into an extended hairpin structure with a large single-stranded internal bulge.
Source: RNAcentral
UUGUCCCUGCGGUGUUCGUGACUUGGCCAUACAUUCUCUGAACCUAUGUCUUAUGGCAUAUUGGUUGCGGGAGUGUCGAGCUGGCGUGAUUGUCCCUCCGGGGAUGAACCCAAGGCUCUUCGGAACGCGACCACCUUGAACCUCAGGGUUCGAGAUGCCGGCCUAGACGGCACCCGCGGGGCAUUU